RNAcentral lists this transfer-messenger RNA (390 nucleotides) under Candidatus Marinamargulisbacteria. RNAcentral's name for it is "GCA-2690645 sp002690645 Standard tmRNA". It matches the Rfam family "transfer-messenger RNA". Rfam says of the family: Bacterial tmRNA, also known as 10Sa RNA or SsrA, is named for its dual tRNA and mRNA-like properties. Lineage: Bacteria; Bacillati; Candidatus Margulisiibacteriota. The record is from RNAcentral. RNAcentral also lists the same sequence under 1 other name.
GGGGGUGUUUUGGUUUCGACAGGAUUGUCUUAGGUAUAAAGCGCGAGCCGAGGAGCUGCCUGGCCUCGUAAAAAGGCGGAAAAAAAUAAAUGACAAAACAGAAGUCAUUACAGCUGACAUUCCAAAUUGGAAUACAGCUCCAGCUUUAGCUGUAGCUUAAUUUAUUAAUUAGCUACCCGUUAUUCGGAUAAUGUUGAAUACUCCGGAAACGAUAAAACUCAACUAGUUUUAUGUAGUGAUUGACUAUAUGAAAUGAAACUUUUUUCAAUCUCGUUUAACUACAGUCUGUUUUUGGACGUUAGUUAGGUUAAAUUAAAACAAAAACUACGCUCGUAGUGGUUUAUAUUGUAGCAAUUUUGGACAGCGGUUCAAUUCCGCUCACCUCCACCA